This 465-nucleotide ribosomal RNA is filed under the name Vreelandella stevensii. RNAcentral's name for it is "partial 16S ribosomal RNA". It matches the Rfam family "Bacterial small subunit ribosomal RNA", at positions 338 to 795 of the family's 1533-position model. The record is from RNAcentral. Lineage: Bacteria; Pseudomonadati; Pseudomonadota; Gammaproteobacteria; Oceanospirillales; Halomonadaceae.
CCUACGGGCGGCAGCAGUGGGGAAUAUUGGACAAUGGGCGAAAGCCUGAUCCAGCCAUGCCGCGUGUGUGAAGAAGGCCUUCGGGUUGUAAAGCACUUUCAGUGGGGAAGAAAGCCUUGGGGCUAAUACCCUCGAGGAAGGACAUCACCCACAGAAGAAGCACCGGCUAACUCCGUGCCAGCAGCCGCGGUAAUACGGAGGGUGCGAGCGUUAAUCGGAAUUACUGGGCGUAAAGCGCGCGUAGGCGGUCUGAUAAGCCGGUUGUGAAAGCCCCGGGCUCAACCUGGGAACGGCAUCCGGAACUGUCAGGCUAGAGUGCAGGAGAGGAAGGUAGAAUUCCCGGUGUAGCGGUGAAAUGCGUAGAGAUCGGGAGGAAUACCAGUGGCGAAGGCGGCCUUCUGGACUGACACUGACGCUGAGGUGCGAAAGCAUGGGUAGCAAACAGGAUUAGAUACCCCUGUAGUC